RNAcentral lists this transfer RNA (80 nucleotides) under Bifidobacterium dentium. RNAcentral's name for it is "tRNA-Leu". It matches the Rfam family "tRNA". From Rfam's summary of the family: Transfer RNA (tRNA) molecules are approximately 80 nucleotides in length. Lineage: Bacteria; Bacillati; Actinomycetota; Actinomycetes; Bifidobacteriales; Bifidobacteriaceae. RNAcentral also lists the same sequence under 2 other names. The record is from RNAcentral.
GCCUGAUUGGUGGAAUGGUAGACACGGCGCACUUAAAAUGCGUUGCCCUUGGCGUGCGGGUUCGAGUCCCGCAUCAGGCA